AGAAGUACAUUGACUGAAUGCUAAGAUCAUCAGAAGUGAAAGUCAAAAGGAUUGACAAUAAUAUUUGUCUCAUCUUGAAGUUACCACUUCUAGAAGAGAACAACAGCACACAGUGAAAUAGGAGCUACUGUUCGGCCUGCAGACUGGUGAUCUCUCAAAUCUCACAGCAAAAUGUUUUUUUCAGUGCAGCUUGAUUAGUUUAAACCCAAAGUAUAGUUGCUAUUUGCAAUGAUGUUAUUUACAGAGGCUUAAGGCCAAAUACUUGAGGAAAACCCUGCUGUUGCAGGACACAGCUCUUACUUGGUCUGUGUGUGCUGAGGAGGUUUGCAUUGGUCUAGAACCAGUGACCACAUCCUCAGUAAUAUACGGUUGAGAUAGACUUUGCUUCACUUGCCACAAUUAUUCUGUCUUCGGAUAUUUGCUCUCCUGUGCAAAUCCUAGAAACUACUGCUCGUUUGUUGUCCAUUAAACCUUGCAACCAGCUAGUGCAUGAGCAUGGUUUAAGGGAGAGAGGGGAGUGAAGCUGGGGCUGGGAAGGCAGGGUAGGUUUAGUUAUCAGCUGCUGUGAAAGGGAUGGGGCCUGUACAGAUAAGGUGCCUCUCACGAGCAUUUUCAUUUGGAUGAGAAAAACAGUUGUCCUGGUUGCGCCAGAUAAUUGCAGUUUGAUGAAGCUCAGGGUCUGGCAAACUGGUCUCCCCUUGGGGGCACUGUGCUGGGAGAGAAGAUCCCCACGAGAACCUAAGGUUCUCCAAAUAGUGGUGGAUGCUCAGGCUGUGGCUCUGAGCGGGAGCCAUCUGCAAGUAAAACAUACUGCAAGCUGACCAGUGUUGCUCUUAUGCUUCUCUAUAUGCUGACGUAGAUAUAGCCUUUACCCUCUAUGUCUGUGUCACAGUCAAAACACUCUACUAUUGCUUAUUUGUCAAGAUCAUAAAGAUUAAGUUAAUUUAUAUUUCAAAGGGGCCCUCCAAAGGAACUGUCUUUGUCAUGAUGUGAUUAUCAGGAAGGCCAAAGUCUUUAGUCUCUGCCCUGUGACUUCUUGAGGACGUGAGGCUGCCUCUCCACUGAGAACCAACUCAUUCCUUUUCUCUCAAGCUUUCUUAUUUAAUAUCCUUGUCCUGAGUCCGGUGUAUGCUAAUUUGUUACUAACUGGUGAGGAUUAAUGCAGAGGAAAUAUAAUGCUGUGAGGUUACAUGACAGUCUUGGGCUUGGUUGUCAGAAGCCACUGUAACCUUUCGUUCUCUUCAGUCAGUAUCGCCACAGCUGUGAUUUCCAAGAGGCAACUCGGAGGACUUCCAGCCACCAGGGUCAGUCUCACUGGCACUGCCCUACUGGCGUGCCCCUAGUGGAACUAUGCUGCAGGUCACUGCAUAUCAAAUGGGGAUGAUCCACGCUCAGUAAAAGCAAGGCUGCUUGAUGCCGGCGAGAAACAUGUGGCUGUCCCACACAUUGCCUGAAAUUCACAAAAGGAAUCAUUGGUACUGCUGAUUUCAGGUGUCUUCUAUUAAUAAUGAAAAGAAAAAUUGAGCGUUUCCUUUGUACAAUUUGUAAUGCUCUGCUAAUCUGUGUAAUCUGCAGCUAGAGUCCAUUUGUGCUGCGUCUGCAACAAUUUCCCUGCUUUGUCAUUUCCAUCGCAAUACGUAGGUGUUGUCUAUUUUGCUUGUAAGGUCAUCUCAGGCAGUUCUGGUUUGAAAUAUUUGUACUGCGAGCUUUCCCCAAACAUGUGAUAGUUUCUAUUGGCUGCUCUUCUUGUUUGGUUUCUUUUUAUCUCCUUUAUGGGAGGGGAAGUGGAUGAGCUGGGAGGAAAGAUGAAAUGUCCUUUGUGUGCAGUCAGAGACAAGUAUCAUCCCCACACAGUGAUGAGAUCUACCCUCACCUUCAAAUGUUUCUGCUCCAAGCUGCAACUCACAUUUACAUCCACCUCUACAGACAUAGAACUGCACAAGGAACUCCCAGUUGCUGUAUAAUGAAUUGGAUCCUAACCCCUCCUUGAGAGAUCAACCUUACAAGAUGCUCUUUGUCCAUGUCCCUGCAUAUCUGCUGGUCCAGGCCCACUACCAGCCCACUUCUCUGCUGAUGUGAGGAAACCUAGCUCCAGGGAGACACCAUCAGCCACACUAACAUGUAGCACACGUGUGACAUCUCUUCUAACAAAAAUAUGGCUAGACAGUGUUUUAUGUGCCUGGCAUACAUAACUAUGUCGCUGUGUCAGUGCACUGAUGAACUUCAUAUCAGAGAAGUACAGAGAGUUAGCAAGAAGACAAGAAGUGGUAAAACAAAUGAACAUAGCCAAGCUGCUAUGUUUUAUGGCAGUGCAUGAGCAUGUCCAAAGCAUUUCUUUAAAAACAUGCUGUGCUCUUACUUGUGCCAUGAGCCCCCAUUCUUAGUUAACCUUCAGGCGUUUAAGGUCAGAAGGCACCAUCUGAGCCAUCAAUUCUGCUGUACGUGUAGGAGACUGGGUCAUGAGAAAGGAGAAGUGAAUGAAUCUCAUGAAGACAGAAAGGAAAUACCUCUAGACUCAAGAUAGGAUUCAGAUGGGAUUGCUGAGGACUACCAGAGUUCCCUCUUUGCGUUUCACUUCAACUGAGAUGGAGUUCCCCUUUCUUGCACUGAGUGUUAGGUCUGCGGGCAGCCAGGGAAACGUCAGCUGCAGACUUGAUGUGAUGAAGUGCAGAAGUCUAAUGUAGCAAAGAGAAAGGAUGAGGCUAGAGGGGAAGAGGUUAAUGAGUAGAGAGGGACACAAACCUGCAUGAUAUAAAAGCCUGGAGGAUUUAAGGGGCAAGCUAAACAUGAACAGGAAGAUGACAGAGCUGCAUUUCUAAGUACCUGAGGGAAGGCAGGUAGUUGUGUUAGUUGUGGCUGUCACAGCUAACAGAUGCAUUGAGGCACAAGCAAGGAUGUCUACAGCAGCCAGCAGGAAACAUUUGACAGACCAGGAGAUUAGAUUACCAUCAAGGUAAGAGAGGAGAAAGCCUGAGUUUGUGGAUAUUUAUGCAUAGCUAUGGUAUUGCUAUGUAAGCUGCAAGAGGAAACCCUUAACAACAGAUUCCCAAAAGCUUGCUAUGAGAUGUCACUUCUGUCAGGGGAAUAAUACCAAGUAGGCUGCAAGCAAAUAAUAAAACCACCUCAUUUUAUUAAGCUGAACCAAUUCAUGCUGGUUUUAUGUCUUCCUAUUGCCCUCUUUUUCUAACCAAAGCUACUUCAUUAACUAAAGAUACAAUUACUCUGCUUGAUUCAGUUGUCCUCAGUGCGGAAUUGUCUCCCAUGUUUGAGGUGUUCAACUGCAGGCUGAGUUGAAUCCUCAAGCUUAUCCAGUCUUGGAAAUUUUAAGAGAUGGGGCUGGCGGGAUGGCUGCCCAUCUGCUCCUCCCCGAGCCCCAGGCAGGACCAACUGACUAAAUGCUUUUUGCACUCUCAGAACACUUGGAACUCUACAGCUCUCCAGGCAACAUACUGCAGUGCUUACCUAUCCUUGCUCUUGGAAGGUAUUUUUAGUGUAGCUCCUCUCCUCUAACUUAAGAUCGUUACUCUAGUACCCCAAAUGGAAUUGGGACUGAAGUUACUCCCUUCCUGAUUUAUAAGAUGACCACUGCUAUGUCUUCCUCACCUCUACACUUAGGUAAAGUCUUAUCGACAUUCUUCUGGGUUUUGACUGUUCAGCCUUUCCCUUGGCACCUUUUCUGCACCACUAACUACUAUUGCUCUCCUUUGAUCUUUCUGCUAUAAGCUCACCAUUUCCCUGAACUGCAGUGCCAAAACUGCACAGUUCAAAUGAAGUCUUCACAGCAUAGACAACUGGGAAAGAAUUAUUUCCUGUUUCUUGCAGACUGAACUUCUGUUUGUACACCUCAUUACAACACUUUCAUUUUUUACUGCGGCAUGACCGUGCUCAUUCAUGUUGAGCUGUCAUCCCUAGAUCUUCUGCAGAACUGCUGCUGCGCCGGUUGUUUCCCAGCUGUCUUUUAGUACUUGAUGACGCCUACACAACUGCAGAGCUCUGUCUUGUCCCUGCUCAAUGGUGUUUGUUUUCCCCAGCAUUCCUCCAAUUUGUCAAGAUUGUUUUGCAUUCUCAUCCUGUUCUCCAAAGUGCUUGUUCUCCACGGUGUCCUGUGCUAAUUUAAUAAGUGUUCCCUACUCUCAUUUCUUCAAAGAUAUUAAUGAAAAUACCGUACACUGUCAGACACAAAACAGAUGGCUUCAGACUUCAUUUGAUACGUACCGCCAGUUUGACAGUGAAGCAUUUAUAGCUGCUUUUAGUUUGGUUUUCCAACCAGCUGUACACUCCUCUAAUAGCAGUUUCUUCUAAACCACGUUUCUUUACUUAGUUUAUGAAAGUGUCAGGUGAGACAGUAGCAAAAGCUUUACUAAAAUCAAGAUCUAAGACCUACUACAGAAGGAAAUUAGAUUGAUUGGAUGUGAUUUGUUUUUGUCAAAUCAGUGCUUGCUGUUCCUCAUCUGCUUGCUGUCAUCUAGGUGCUGGAAAACAGCUUAACCAAUUUCCACUUCCAGCAUUUUCCAGGAAUUGAAAUUAAGCUGCUUGCUCUCUUGGGCACCUUUGAGUAGAGACCAAAGGAUGAAAGUAACAACCAUUUGUGUCUUCGGCAUCGUCACUGAGUAACUCCUCCUCAUGAAACUCAGGUCUUUCUUUGGCCCUCCUUUUACAUAAACUUCACACCCACUGCUUGUUGCAUCACCUAUAUCUUUUUCAUUUUAUUCCUCCUCUUAGUAACAUGACCUAGUUUGACUUUCUGUCUGCUUCCUCUGCACAUCUGAAACUAAUGAAGAGCUCAUGAUUUAAUCACCUUGUACCUUGUGGGCCUCCUCUAGGGCUUGUGCUAAGUUUCCCUGCUACCAAGGAGUUCCCAAGUAGCUCUUUACUAUUUCUCCUGUGAUUGUGCCUUCCACACAACUUCCUUAGAGCACUGUUAACUCUUCAACUGUCCUUUCUGCCUCAGAUUUGCCACUUGAAGGUCACUCUCACCCCAGCUGCCUUUCACCUUUGCCCGCAGACCCAAGUUUCCUGUAUAAGUCAGAAUCAAAUACUGCAGAGCAUUUAGUCAGGAAGAAGCUAAAUUAAAGAGAUGACAGCUGCGGUCAGCUCAGGGAAGAGCACAGAAAGAGCACAAGCACAGAGCUAAACAGAUAUGCCCCCACAUAUUUAGCACUUAGUUGUGUCAGGAAAAAUUAAUAUUAACUCUCACAAUUAUCUGCCCCCGUCUAUGAACUUGUCAUUAAAUUCAGGAGAGUUGGCUAACAGUGAUGGAAACAUUGUUAUUUGUGUAAAACUUGUGCAGUGCAAGACUUAUCAUUGCUGUUUGUCUGUCUUUCUGAUGGUAUCUAUUAUAUCUUUGCACAAUGAGGAGGCUUAGACUUUGCAAACAUUUGGAAAUUCUGUGUAAGAAGCAUGCAGUUACCUCUUUCGUUCAAUUAAGAACUGACAUUACAGUGUGUUUCCAGUGAUGGGGGUUCAGGCCUGCAAGCACAGCAUCAAGAAGCCCUCACUGAGCCAGAGCUUGCCACGUUCCAUGCUCUUUAAGCACUGUUGAGCAGGGCCUCAGCUUCUCAGCAGCCAACCAAGACACUCUAGGCCUUCAGGGCCAGCUCAAUCUUUCCCAGACAGCUUCCUCCUGUGCAUGGUGUGCAUUGUUCCUGGUAAUAUCUUACUCUAGCUACAUUAAUAGUAGAAAAGCUCUACCUAAAUGUACCUUCCUGCUUAAAACUCCCACUUAGAAAUUUGCUUUGGGAGCUGCUUGACCUCUACUUCUUACUGCCAUCUAUCCAAACUAAUCUGACUCUUCCAGGCCAGGGCUGUGCCCAUGCCAAUCUCCCUGUGCAGUCCAGAAAAAGCCUACCUGAGCAGUCUGAUGUCAAGUUGGCUUUUGGCUGCCAUUCAUAGCUCGAACAUGUUCUUGCAGAAGUCCAUUUACGUGCUGAGUGAUUGGUCCGUGAGCACAGUCGGCACGGCAGUCAGUAACUCUGCUGUGAGUUAUUUUAAUGAUGUUAUUGAUUUCAUUAGCUCCAUUUUAUUUUGCUUCAUUACAUCAACUCUUGGCGCCAGGGUUAAGUGGCAGCUAAUUAGUUCAGCAUAAAUGAUGUUUCUUUAUGGGGCAGCCAGGACCAAAGAGAACUGAAGCUUCCAGGGAUGUUUGCCCAGAAGCUGGGAUGGUUUGUAAAGGAAUUGUUAACUUUGUUUUAACAUCCCAAACAAUCACAUUAGUACAACUUUAUAACUUACUCCACUCUAUGCACUUGAUAUCACCUCACGAGAAGAAAAUGUUACAGAAGAGCUAUGGUGAUAUAACAAUAGCUUGUAUUCUUGCAGACAGUCCAAUUUCUUUAUCUAGAAGUUGGAGUUUGAUAUGUCAUCCAAUGAUUGGCCUUUGAGUCAUUCGAAGCUCCCAUAAAAAGAAGAAAAAUAAAUUUACAGACUGCUGUGGUAGGGUCAUAGUCUAACUGAGCAUCCACGGCAUCUGCUGGAGAACUCUCCAGACGGUGCUCUUGGAAUUUGGGUCAGACUUUAUAAUGCUCCAAACAAGCUGUGAAGAAAGCUGCGGGAAGAUCUGAGAGACAUCCCCAUGAGGACGUAGAUGGGUAAUUAUUUAUUUUUUAAGAACAUACCUAGAGGCUUAGGCAACUGGCAGACUUAAGUUAGCCAACGGUAUUUGGGUUAAAAGAAGUUACACUGCUGGCAAGCAGAGAAUCCCCUGAAAGUACAGUUCAUCUUUCCUGAAGUAAAAUCAAAAGUAGCAGCACUACCUCAUCAUUUCAAGCUUCCUAAAACAAAAUACCUAUUAAAAGUAAUUCAUCUCAGGUAAAAACGUGUUGUAACUGAUAGGCUUUCCAUUGCCCAUCUGAGAAGACCUACUUGCUCAAAGCCCUGCACCUAGUUGUGGCCUGACUCAAGGCUCCUGUUGGCUUUGGUGAGAACUGACCAAAAGCACUAUGUUGGACCCCACUUGUCAUGCUCUUGGCAUUUUUGUAGAAGGAGCUGGAAGGACAGCUCACCCCAGGUUGUGUCGCAGCAGCAAAAAUAAUGUUUGCAUCUGCAAGAGAAGCUGCAGUCAACAACAUAGUGCCAACAGUCUCCAAGUGAAUGUAGUUGGUGUGCUUCUGUUUCACUGAACUUUUAUCUACCAUAAAUCAUGAAUGGGAGUCCCUGUGCAAAGUGGGUCUUCACCCCACUAUUUGCAUGCUAUUUCUUUGUCUAAUGGCAAUGUGGCUGCAUUUUUUUGCGCCCUGAACUGUCCAGCUUUUCCUUCCUCCUUCCCUUCCUAGCCCCUUCUCUCUUCAUUUCUAUUCCAGUAUGUUUUAACAAGAUGACCUAUUGCAUACCAGUAUCUGGGUAAAGACUACCUCUUUGUAUAAAACCUGUCAAACCUUUUGCUUCAUCAUAACACCAUAAAACCACCACUGGAAAAUAAAACAAUAAAGCAGAGGUGUAUGAGGGGUUUCUCAAGUAAGUUAUUUGUGUUGAGCACAUGUACAAAUACUUAUUUUACUUUUUCUAUCAUAGGUCAGCUAAUGGAUAUUUUCCUUAGUUGGAAUAUUGGAAAAUAAAAAUAAACUCAGGCAGUCCUGAGAUCUGUCCUGGGUGGCACAGGCAGGGUGCAGGUGGCUUGUUAACCCACUGCUUCUCAUGGCACA
Meleagris gallopavo (turkey) is the source of this 7640-nucleotide long non-coding RNA. RefSeq lists it as uncharacterized. Lineage: Eukaryota; Metazoa; Chordata; Aves; Galliformes; Phasianidae. The record is from RefSeq and is a predicted model, not a curated record.